Molecule: long non-coding RNA, 1151 nt
Organism: Quercus robur (English oak)
Lineage: Eukaryota; Viridiplantae; Streptophyta; Magnoliopsida; Fagales; Fagaceae
Exons: 3
Source: RefSeq, a predicted model, not a curated record
AUCGGUCCUCCUCUCCCACAACUCAACGACUCCACCUUCUCCAGCACUACCUCUCCACCUUUGUCGAAGCCACCAACUUUGAAAAUCUCUCUACCCUUCUCCUUCCCCCAAAACCCAAAUCUCUAUCCUUUUCCUUCCCUCAAAACCCAACUCUGAAAUUUUUCUAAAAACUAAAACUAAAACCUGUAACAUGCGACCACUCCUAUUUAUUCUUAGAAACCAUCUCCUUCCCCGCAAAUCCUCACCCAAAACUCCUAUAGCAUGCGACCCCUCCUCUCUCUUCUUAGAAACCAUCUAGUCUAAACUUGCUCAAGUAGCAAAUAUAGUACCAGUCCGAUUUGUGUGAGCCCUGAAGCAAGAUUUGGAAGAGGAGAUCAGGUUUAUUUGGGCGACUCGAACUGAGAUUCAGGGUUGCUAGGAACACAACCCAGCAGAUUGGUAGUAGAUUGAGUUUGAGAAGAAACUAUGGGGUCAAAGAUAAUAAAUUUGGGGUGGAUGCCUAGGUCCUUAUGCUCAAGGGUGUGAAGGAAGCUUACUUAUGUUAUCAAGGUGGUGACAGCCUUCUAAUCAGUUCCCAUCAAGCUUACUUAUCAAGCUUGAUGUUCCCAUCUAAAAAAAAAAAAACCAAUUAGGCCAAAAAAAUUACUUUUAUCCUCACCUUCACACAAGUUAACUUUUAAAAACCCACACGGUUGAAGAGAAAGAACAGAGUCCUACCUUCACUAGCUUGCCACCACCGGUCAGCCGGAAAAACCACUACUGGUAAAACUAAUUUCUUGCAUUUUCCCCUUUCAGUUGUAAUACCUGGGAUUUUCUUUCUUAAUCUUCUUCUCCCUCUAAGUGAGAGUUUGUUUGUGUAAUUUGGGUGGCUCAAUUUCUUUUUCCUUCCCCUUGAUGUUCACACUGUCAUGCUACUGUAUUGUGCUUUUUCCUGAGACUUCGUAAGGGUGCGGAGAGAGUUUAGAAGGCUGUCACCACCGGUCUACCGCCACCAUCAAAUGGCUGGAACCGCUGUAGAUAAAUUUUUUUUCUUGUCCCUUUAUUGAGCGUUAAAUGUGAUUUAGGUUUGGGUAUUGUGGGUGUAUUGGUUUUGAUAUAGGAAUUUUGUGUUUUAAGUUGAGGUUGUUUUCCUUCUCAUUUGUGGUUCAGAU